CGGGCUGCCUCCGCAUGGACCUACACGGCAGCGACGGCGACGCGCCCGUGGCUGAUGCCUUACCCGGUCUGUCUGGACGAAAGCGCAUCCGCAGUUUUGAAGAUAUAAGCAAAUUCCAGGUGGGAGGCAGCGCUGAACCAGCCAAACAGGACUGGCGGAAAGGGUUCCAAGGGUGUUUCAGAACAAAGGAAGACUUUAGACCUCCAGUUUGUGCCUCUUGUCCUGUCACCGGACACCACAGAGAAGAGAAAUUUUAG
RNAcentral lists this long non-coding RNA (257 nucleotides) under Struthio camelus australis. RNAcentral describes it as "lncRNA (ENSSCUG00000004472.1)". The record is from RNAcentral. Lineage: Eukaryota; Metazoa; Chordata; Aves; Struthioniformes; Struthionidae.